Molecule: long non-coding RNA, 2679 nt
Organism: Dunckerocampus dactyliophorus (ringed pipefish)
Lineage: Eukaryota; Metazoa; Chordata; Actinopteri; Syngnathiformes; Syngnathidae
Exons: 5
Source: RefSeq, a predicted model, not a curated record
CAAACAAAACUGUGUUCACGUGUUUUUACCUGAACCUCCUUAAUGUUGUUGGACGUCACCAACAGGCCGAUACCGAUGGGGAUGAAGAGGAGUCCGGUGAUGAAGAGGGCCAGGAAUACGGUUCCUGUGGUGAGGACGGGCUUCCAUGCGGGCAGUUUCUGUUGUUUAAAUGACGAGUUUUGUGAAUUGUUGCUCUGCGUUUCUGCCCGCCGUGGUCUGAACAAGGACACGUGCCCUCCAUCGCCAUUGGCAGUGUAGCGGGACAUUACGUUGGCUCCUGUUGCAAGAUAAUGCUACUUAAUUAACAGGGUUGCUUGCUUCCUCGUGACUGUCCCUCAAAAAUAUGUCGUUUUAUGUUAUUGAAUGGCGUCACACGGGAUCAAACAACGCAAUAAAGUUCAGUUUACGAACAACCAGCGAGUGGUGACGUCACUCCAACAUGGAGUCAGGGGUUCACCCAAAUAAAAGUCAAUGAUGAAGAUCGCCACUUAUUGCAUAAGUCACUGCACUAUAUUGUUUCACAUUCAUCACACAAAGUUGAACAUAUUUUUUAUUUGGAUACUCAAUUCAAUACACAGUGUGGCUGAAAACCUCCUAAAAGUGAUGGGUGAGAUUAAAAGGGUAUUUACUGACUGGGGCCAUGUCCAGCAUAGAAAACAUUCAAUAGUUGGCUGACUCUAACUUGCCAAAAUGAUCAGCUGAUCAGAUCAGAUCCCCGAUCACACCUCAAGAGAUUGCCAUGGCAACGCCUGAUGGCUCAGCUCUCCCCUAUUGGUGCAGAGGACUUCCUCAGUUCGAUUUUCAGCAGCUGGCCCUCACGUGACUCUAACUUUGUCGCCGUGGACGCGUCCAGAGUCUUGCUGCUGACUGUCAAAGCCCUUGACACAGGGAGUGGUGUGGCCGACUGCACCUCCCAACUGGGCUGGAAGUUGAAACACAAUUUAGUGGAAGUGUUCUACAUUGCUACUGCACAAUACUUUUUUAAAAAUCGUACUAUAAUUAUUUUACACACGACCUGAUCCAGCAUGACUGACUGGACACUCUCAAUUGAUGAUGAUAAACCACAAACCAAGUGGAAACAUACAUGUUUUGUAAAAUAUAUGUUUUGUAAAAUAUUAAUAAUUGAUGUGAAAAACGUCUGAUGUUACAUAUAUCAGUGAUCCCCAACCGGUACCGCGCCGUGGGUCAUUUAGUACUGGGCCGCACAGAAAGAAAAAAAUUUGUUUUAUUUUGAAAUGUGGCCGGAUUCUCUGUUACAUCCGCUCACUUGACGCAAGUCCAUUGUGCGUGUGCUAACUUUCUCUCGACUGCUGCUGUAUCUUUAGCAUUUUUUUUCACCUCAUAUUUGGUCUCAAAUGCUGAUACUAUGUGGGAAUGCAUAAAGAGUCAGGGGUCACCCGGAUGUGAAGCGGCUGGCCUGACUUUUGGGACGUGGAAACCUCAGGUGAGAGAAGAGGCGUCCUCUCAGGAGUGGUGUGCUUGACAGAGAUGGCCUCUCCCUUCUUCAUCCAUGGCAUCCACGACCUCCUGGCCUCUGACUCUGCUGACGCUGGCGGGACUGACUUGCGGAUGAAGCCUGCCGCUGUGUCAUCAUCGGCAGACUCAUUGGCCAACACAUCAGUCUGCACAGCUGUGGAUGCAACUUGGUCUGGUGACUGGGGGCGGGGCGGAGCAACGAGGCAGAUGGACGCAAUGGACAUUUAACAUGAUUCAUACAGCCCGCAUGCGGCCACACCAGGAAAAUACCAGCAGGUUUGAGCUGCUUCGACGUCUGACAUGAACACAAAGUGUUCUGCGGCCAUGGCAACAGCCUUCAUGACAGCAAACAAGAAGACGACCCCCACCUCCAGACGCCUGAGCUGAAUUAGCAGCGUGAUGUCAUGCUCUUUCAUUGGUCAGCCUACAGCUGUUGGUCACAACUCAACCCAUGGAUGCCAUGGAGACCACAGGCCAACUUGUCUGCUCGGUGGACCACAAUGCAACAACGAUAUAACACACGCCAACGGUCACGCAAGUGUAAAAAGAAGUAAACCACUGUCCAAACCACUUACACUUAACUUUCUCGUGUUUGCACCUGUCAUACAAGCGUAAAAAGAAGUGAGGCCUCACGUCCGUGAUCAGUAUAAUGUCUUGCAGGUGUUUCGUAUUUUCAUGAGAGGUUCCACACAACAAGACACUCGUGCACGUUACUGGCGCGGAAGAUGGCAUCUCACCUGCAGGUCACGCCGCGCUUGUCCUUUUUCUCAAAGGAGACGCUGAACGACGGCUCCUCUUCAUGGUGUCCGAGUCCUCCAGCCUGCCACGGCGCCUCUAUUUAUAAGCCGAGCGCUCGGAUCAACUGUCAGCCUGACCACGCCUCCCCGUCCUCCUCCUGCUCCAUGCAGCGUUAUCAUAAAGACUGACAUGAUUGUAUUACAGUAUGUUGUUCCUUUCCAGUGCUAUUUGGGCAUUUAAAGACUUGAUCAUUGAGUGCAAUGUCAGUCAAACACAAAAGAUACUUUCCACUGGAGUAAAAGUUUGAAAGUAGCUGCUUGCUAAAAAAAAUAUAUAUAUAUAUACAUAUAUAUAUAUAUAUAUAUAUAUGUAUAAUAUAUAAAUACAGUAGUAUAGAACAAGUGUGUCCACAGUGUGGCCCGGGGGUCCAUUUGCGACCCGCAGCUGUUUUUUUUAUUGGCUCAC